Molecule: transfer RNA, 85 nt
Filed under: Nitrospirota bacterium
Lineage: Bacteria; Pseudomonadati; Nitrospirota
Description: Nitrospirae bacterium (hydrothermal vent metagenome) tRNA-Leu
Rfam family: tRNA
About the family: Transfer RNA (tRNA) molecules are approximately 80 nucleotides in length. Their secondary structure includes four short double-helical elements and three loops (D, anti-codon, and T loops).
Source: RNAcentral
GCGAGAGUGGCGGAAUUGGCAGACGCGCUGGACUUAGGAUCCAGUGGCUUCGGCCGUGCGGGUUCGACUCCCGCCUCUCGCACCA